This 407-nucleotide ribosomal RNA is filed under the name uncultured bacterium. RNAcentral describes it as "partial 16S ribosomal RNA". It matches the Rfam family "Bacterial small subunit ribosomal RNA", at positions 30 to 526 of the family's 1533-position model. The record is from RNAcentral.
AUUGAACGCUGACGGCAGGCCUAACACAUGCACGUCGAGCGGAGCGGCGGACGGGUGCGUAAUGCCUAGGCAUCUGCCUGGUAGUGGGGGAUAGCGUCCGGUAACGGGCGCUAAUACCGCAUACUCGCAGAUGAGGCUCGGUCGGAUUAGCGAGUUGGUGGGGUAAAGGCCUACCAAGGCGACGCUCCGUACCUGGUCUGAGAGGAUGAUCAGUCACACUGGAACUGAGACACGGUCCAGACUCCUACGGGAGGCAGCAGUGGGGAAUAUUGGACAAUGGGCGAAAGCCUGAUCCAGCCAUGCCGCGUGUGUGAAGAAGGUCUUCGGAUUGUAAAGCACUUUAAGUUGGGAGGCGUUACCAACAGAAUAAGCACCGGCUAACUUCGUGCCAGCCGCCGCGGUAAUUC